UGGGGAAUAUUGGACAAUGGGCGCAAGCCUGAUCCAGCCAUGCCGCGUGAGUGAUGAAGGCCCUAGGGUUGUAAAGCUCUUUCACCGGUGAAGAUAAUGACGGUAACCGGAGAAGAAGCCCCGGCUAACUUCGUGCCAGCAGCCGCGGUAAUACGAAGGGGGCUAGCGUUGUUCGGAAUUACUGGGCGUAAAGCGCACGUAGGCGGAUCAGCAAGUUAGGGGUGAAAUCCCGGGGCUCAACCCCGGAACUGCCUUUAAAACUGUUGGUCUCGAGUCCGGAAGAGGUGAGUGGAAUUCCGAGUGUAGAGGUGAAAUUCGUAGAUAUUCGGAGGAACACCAGUGGCGAAGGCGGCUCACUGGUCCGGUACUGACGCUGAGGUGCGAAAGCGUGGGGAGCAAACAGG
RNAcentral lists this ribosomal RNA (404 nucleotides) under uncultured bacterium. RNAcentral's name for it is "bacterial SSU rRNA". It matches the Rfam family "Bacterial small subunit ribosomal RNA", at positions 355 to 776 of the family's 1533-position model. The record is from RNAcentral.